GUCUACAACCAUGCUACCCUGAACAAGCGCAUUCCCGUCUGAUCUCGGAAGCUAAGCAGGGUCGGGCCUGGUUAGUACUCGGAUGGGAGACCACCUAGGAAGACCAGGUGCUGUAGGCG
This 119-nucleotide ribosomal RNA is filed under the name Pteropus alecto (black flying fox). The record is from RNAcentral. Lineage: Eukaryota; Metazoa; Chordata; Mammalia; Chiroptera; Pteropodidae.